CCAUUGCACUCCAGCCUGGGUAACAAGAGCGAAACUCCGUCUCAAAAAAAAAAGAAAAGUGGGUUUAUAGCAGGCCUAAGCCCAGCAUUCUGUCCUGUUACUCCUCUCUUUGUUACAGAGUAACACAAAGACAAAUUUUUAACACAAAGGGUACCAGAUUUGCUACUGCCUAAGGAUCAGCCUCACUAAUCCUUUUUUUCUGUUAAUCAGACCUUUCCAGAGGAGACAGUGAUAUUUACCAUUUGUAUACACACACACACACACACACACACACACACACACACACACACACGAGUGAGAGAGACCAGAAGCUUGACUAGUAAGAAUUUUAUAAUUUGUGUACACACACACACACACACACACACACACACGAGUGAGAGAGACCAGAAGCUUGACUAGUAAGAAUUUUAUGCCCUUUUUGCCAACAUACCAGGAUACCUGGUUCCCUUUCUCUGCAGCUUCCAGCACAGAGUGGCUUUGAUGACCUUGCUCACUGCAUCAUAGCUUUGGGGGCCAAGCCCUGUUACAAAAGAAAAUCAUCCUUGUCUGCUUUAAGGAACAAUAGGCAAAAGCUUCUCAAUUUUGCAAGAUGCUGCCCAUUGGGCAGCAUGGGGAGCCGAAUUAAUAUUUUCCAUCCCAGCCGAAGCAAAGUACACAUUAAAAAAUAGACACUAGUAACCUUGCUCAAACACCCAGUAUCAACCUGGCAAGGCUCAAACUUUCUCCUGUAGGUCCCUGUUGUCUUUGAUUCACUCCAGGUGAGGAGGAAUGACCUCCAAACCAUAAUUUGAUGGGUGGUCUCUGAGCAAGACUAAGAGCAAGUCACCCUGAGUCAAGCCUGUUAAGCUUUCUUCAGGGCCCUCCAAAUAUGACAAGACAAAUAAAGGUUCUCCAAGAUAGGCCUGCUGUACUUCUGUCAGCAAUGUCUUCAGAGAUCCCUUCCACAUGCAGAAACAAACACAAAGACAAGACAGACAUAAGGGCUUCCAAAUCAAGAUCCCUAACCAAGAAUUCCAGAAUACCCCUUCCACCCUAUUCUCCUAUUUUUUGCCUGAGAAAUCUCCCCUAAAUCUUCUGGAUUGAGGAGAAGUCGCCCUAAUCAAGACUCUUCCUACUAAUUAAGGAGAGCCAACUGAAACCCCCCCAAAAGGAGCCAAACUGAGACACUCCAUGGUGGAGCUGCAGACACUUACCACACUGUGGGGUCUACAGAACCAUUUGGGAGACGGAAGGAGGCUUUGGCAGUGCCUAGGAUACUCACUGAACCAGAUAGCCCAUAAUGGGGCUACAGACAGACACCCUGUGAUAAGGCUGCCGUUAUGGGAUGUCUCCCCAGGACUGUUUCUCCAUUGCAAUUAAAUUCAUGUGCAUUGGGUCAGCAGUGCCCUGCCAGUAGAGAUGGUGUCAGAGUCAGCCCCUAGUCCAAGAGAACUAGGUAGCAACUUGGGCUGGCCUCUGGAUCCAUUGCCAGAGCGGUGCUACCAAAUCGCAGGCAGGUACCCACAAGAGCAAUCCCAGACAAGCCUCCAAAUUUGUAACUGCUCAACGGGUUCACCUUGCCCUCUGUCUAGACAGAGCCAGUUUAUCAAGACAAGGGAAUUGCUGUGGAGAAAGUAAUUCACAACACAGCUGGCUGUGUGGGAGACUGGAGUUUUAUUAUUAUUCAAAUCCCUCUCCCAGAGCAGUCAGGGAUCAGUUUUUAAAGCUAAUUUGGUGAGUAGGAGCUUGGGAAGUGGGGAAUGCUGAUUGGUCAGGUUGAAAAUGUAAUCGUGGGGGUUGAAAUGAGGUUUUCUUGCUAUCUUCUGUUCCUGGGUGGGAUGGCAGAGCUGGUUGAGCCAGAUUAUGGGUCUGGGUGGUGUCAGCUGAUCCAUUGAGUGCAUGGUCUGCAAAAUAUCUCAAGCACUGAUACUAGGUUUUACAGUAGUGAUGCUGUCUCCAGGAGCAAUUUGGGGAGGUUCAGCCUCUUGGAGCCAGAAGCUGCAUGACCCUUAAACCAUCAUUUCUAAUCUUGUAGCUAAUUUGUUGGUCCUGCAGAGGCAGACUGGUCCCCAGGCAAGAAGGGAGUCUUUUUGAGAAAGAGCUAUUAUCAGUUUUGUUUCAGAGUCAAACCGUAAACUAAAUUCCUUCCCAAAGUUAGUUCGGCCUAUUCCCAGGAAUGAAUAAGGACAGCUCAAAGGUUAGAAGCAAGAUGGAUCAGUUGGGUCUGAUUUCUUUUACUGUCGUAAUUUCCUCAGUUAUAAUUUUUGCAAGGGUGGUUUCACCAAUCUACGAAGUGAAUUCCUUUGGCAGGUUCUAUAUUUCUGAUCUAGGGAAAAGUUACCCAGGUUGUUUUGUCAUUAUGACUGAUGGGCUAUAAAGUUUUUCACGACUCACUGCACGAGUUUUAUUAAUUAGCUAGAGCAACUCAAAGAACCCGGGGAAGACAUUUACUGGUCAAUUAUAAAGGCUGUUAUAAAGGCUACAGAUGAAGCAAUGCAUAAGGCAAGGUAUGAGGGAAAGGGCUUAGAGCUUCCAUACUCUCUCCAGGCACAACACCCUGCAGGAUAGCUACUAGCUCUCCUGAAACUCUCCAAAGCCGGGAUUUUUAAUGGAAGCCUCAUUACAUAGGCAUGAUUGAUUAAAUCAUUGGCACUGAUGGUCAAACUAACCUUCAGCCCCUGUCCCCUCCUGGGAGAUUUGAAGUAGGGCAGAAACCUUAACCCUCUCAUUCUAUUUUGAUCUCUUUGCUGACCAGCCCCAUUCUGAAGCUACCUAUGGAUGCCAGUCCUAGUUCAACUCAUUAGCGUGUAAAAAGAGAUUAUCACUUUGAAAUUCUAAGAAUUUUAAAAGUUGUAUUCCAGGAAAUAUAUAUUUCACAGUAUCACCGUCUUACAAGGUAAUGAAACCAUGCUCUUUGGAUUGUCUUUUAUGCCAGACAGAAAUCAUCUGUAUCUAUACUGGACAAAAAUCUACAAGUUAUAAGGUAAUUUCACAGAUUCUGGACAUUAUUUAAUAUAAAUGUCAAAAAAUACAUUCUCCUCUGACAUACAUUGGUGUACUUUUUCUGUAAAGAGCCAAAUGAUAAAUAUUUUAGACUUUGUGGACCACAAAGUCUCUGUUUUAUUUAUUUUUUGUUUCAGUUUUUACGGCCCUUUAAAAACGUAAAAAGUAUUUUUAUCUCAGGGGUUUUAUAUACAGAAGAGUCCAAGGGCUGGAUUUGCACAAACCAGUAUGAUAGCCACUACCGCAUGUUGCUGUCUGCAUUACUUUGGUGAAAUUAAAUAUUCAGAUCCUUGGUUGCAUUUCAAGUGCUAAUGGUCACAUGUAACUAGUGGCCACCAAUUUGAAUAGUACAGCUAUAGGACAUUUCCAUCACUGAAGAGGUUCUUUUGGACAGUGCUACCCUAAAGUAUUAAAUAAUCCUUGAUUGGCUCUGCUAGACAAUAGUAUGACAUUGAGGCUGGACGCAGUGACUCACGCUGUAAUCCCAGCACUUUGGGAGGUCAAGGCAGGUGCAUCACCUGAGGUCAGGAGUUCGAGACCAGCCUGGCCAACAUGGUGAAACUCUGUCUCUACUAAAAAU
This is a long non-coding RNA of Sapajus apella (tufted capuchin), 3562 nucleotides long. RefSeq lists it as uncharacterized. The record is from RefSeq and is a predicted model, not a curated record. The transcript is spliced from 2 exons. Lineage: Eukaryota; Metazoa; Chordata; Mammalia; Primates; Cebidae.